Molecule: long non-coding RNA, 1510 nt
Filed under: Brachypodium distachyon (stiff brome)
Lineage: Eukaryota; Viridiplantae; Streptophyta; Magnoliopsida; Poales; Poaceae
Description: long non-coding RNA (BDIS_LNC004642)
Source: RNAcentral
AUCCUAUUAAUAAUAAAUUGCCACGUCAUAACAUCAUAUAAAAAAGGGUGAUGAUUUGUGCAUCAAAAUUACCCUCCGAUAAGAUGCAAAGUUGCCACCUAAUAAUAUAUUAAAUAAUACAGUGUUAGUAAUACAUUAGCACAUGAUAACUUUUCUGAAACAAGUGUGGUAACUUGUGCAUUACCGUAUGGUAACAAAAAGAUCAAAAUAAAUUUUCGACAAAACAUAGCUGAGAGUGAUCUAAUUUUAAAGCUCUCGCUGAUACGAAGUCAACAGUGAAAACGGACCGUGAAUCGGACAAACGGUUGAACGUACAAAACAUUUUGAGUGUUCAAAACAACGACAUGCAAGAACAUGCAUGCUGCUAAAACAAACAUGAGUGAAUGCAUGCGAUCAAUUCCCGAUUAGUAAAAGAAAAAAAAUACAUGCAUGCAUUCAGGACACAGCGCAGCAGCAGCAGGCAGCAUGCUAGCGCGUGUCGCGCCACCGGACAAUAGCGCAAACGAACGCGCGAUAUAAAUUCCGUAUAGCUUUUCACAUGUUACUUCCUGGGUUGCUCGCGCGGGUCCUUUCUUCUUCAUGCAAAGUUGUAAAUAGUCUGGUGAUGCGCGCGUGAGGACGACCGGCCGGGCCGGAAUAGCUAACCUUUCCGUUGCACCUUCCACAAUGGAAAGCGACCCAUCUAUUACUAACCUUGAUGUUUAUUCGAUCCGUGUCAGCUCUUUGCCACGCACCAUGGCUUGACGUACCACGUGUAAGCCAAUAAUCCAAUCUGCUCCUGUUUUUCUUAAUUAUUAUACUCCGUAAUACUCUGCAUUACAUGAAACCAGGCAGGUGCCCGGAUUGCUUAGCUAGCUGCUGGUAGCAGCUUUGAGCCUUUCUUCUCAAAAAAAAAAAACACUUUGAGCCUUGACCUAUUCUCGCGCCUAAAAUAUAUACACACUCGUCACAUUCAUUUUUACUCCAAAUUGAGUCGACUUGUUCCAAAAAUUGUAGAUUUAUAAUCCAAGUUACAAUGCAAAUUUAAUGAUUUAUCUCUAAAUUUAAAUGUUUAUUGUAAUUUAACUAUCAUUGGUAAAAUCAUUUUUUAAUUCAAUUCCUAUCAUUUAUCCACCAAAAAUACCCAAAUUAGUAGUCUACAUUAUUUUUGCAAACAUUUAUUUCUAUCUAUUGUUUUGAUUCGAAAUUUCUAUUUAGACAUAUAUCUUAAUUAAGGUCAGUUAAACAUUUCAAUAAAUCUAGUUUAACUACAUUUUAGUCUUCUUCAUUAUUGAGUCCACGGUGCAACUAAUCGGCUGACCGCAAAUUAAUAUGUCUACCGCUCUUGAACCCAGUCCCAUCUCCCAAAAGGGUCAAGUCAUUAACUCCUUUUAAAAAAUGGGUCAAGUCAUCCAUCCAAUAGUGCAACCGGAGGUACUGCAAGUAGCCAGGUAAGAUAAUCAUGCAACAGCAGUGUCAAAAAUAAUACUAGUCAUGCAACGGUUGCUUGAUCACGCUAGCCCAGUAAUCA